ACUGCGAAUGGCUCAUUAUAUAAGUUAUCGUUUAUUUGAUAUUGCCUAUCCUACAUGGAUAACAGUGGUAAUUCUAGAGCUAAUACAUGCUGAAAAUCCCGACUUCGGAAGGGACGUAUUUAUUAGAAUCAGAACCAAUGCCCUUCGGGGUUCCUUGGUGACUCAUGAUAACUCCACAGAUCGCAUGGCCUUGCGCCGGCGAUGGCUCAUUCAAAUUUCUUCCCUAUCAACUUUCGACGGUACGGUAUUGGCCUACCGUGGUUGUAACGGGUGACGGAGGGUUAGGGCUCGACCCCGGAGAGGGAGCCUGAGAAACGGCUACCACAUCCAAGGAAGGCAGCAGGCGCGCAAAUUAUCCAAUCCCGACACGGGGAGAUAGUGACAAUAAAUACCGAUACAGGGCUCUUUUGGGCCCUGUAAUUGGAAUGAGUACAAUUUAAACCUCUUAACGAGGAACAAUUGGAGGGCAAGUCUGGUGCCAGCAGCCGCGGUAAUUCCAGCUCCAAUAGCGUAUAUUAAAGUUGUUGUGGUUAAAAAGCUCGUAGUCGAACCUCGAACCUGGCCGGCCGGUCCGCCUCACCGCGUGCACUGGUCUGGCCGGGUUCUUCCCUCUGCGGAACCGCAUGUCCUUCACUGGGCGUGUCGGGGAGGCAGGACUUUUACUUUGAAAAAAUUAGAGUGCUCAAGGCAGGCCAAUGCUCGAAUACAUUAGCAUGGAAUAAUAGAAUAGGACGUUGGUUCUAUUUUGUUGGUUUCUAGGACCGCCGUAAUGAUCAAUAGGGACGGUCGGGGGCAUCAGUAUUCAGCCGUCAGAGGUGAAAUUCUUGGACCGGCUGAAGACUAACUACUG
RNAcentral lists this ribosomal RNA (850 nucleotides) under Phaeoisaria clematidis. RNAcentral describes it as "SSU rRNA". It matches the Rfam family "Eukaryotic small subunit ribosomal RNA", at positions 86 to 945 of the family's 1831-position model. The record is from RNAcentral. Lineage: Eukaryota; Fungi; Ascomycota; Sordariomycetes; Pleurotheciales; Pleurotheciaceae.